UACGAAGGGGGCUAGCGUUGCUCGGAAUCACUGGGCGUAAAGGGUGCGUAGGCGGGUCUUUAAGUCAGAGGUGAAAUCCUGGAGCUCAACUCCAGAACUGCCUUCGAUACUGGAUGUCUUGAGUUCGGGAGAGGUGAGUGGAAUGCCGAGUGUAGAGGUGAAAUUCGUAGAUAUUCGGAAGAACACCAGUGGCGAAGGCGGCUCACUGGUCCGGUACUGACGCUGAGGUGCGAAAGCGUGGGGAGCAAACAGG
Molecule: ribosomal RNA, 253 nt
Filed under: uncultured bacterium
Lineage: Bacteria
Description: partial 16S ribosomal RNA
Rfam family: Bacterial small subunit ribosomal RNA
Source: RNAcentral